Molecule: non-coding RNA, 104 nt
Filed under: Bacillus sp. (in: firmicutes)
Lineage: Bacteria; Bacillati; Bacillota; Bacilli; Caryophanales; Bacillaceae
Description: Bacillus sp. Glycine sequence
Rfam family: Glycine riboswitch aptamer
About the family: This family represents the bacterial glycine riboswitch. Glycine riboswitches usually consist of two metabolite-binding aptamers domains with similar structures in tandem.
Source: RNAcentral
AUGAUGAUUGUGGGAGAGACCGAAGGAAUCAAUUCGGCACCGAAGGAGCAAGUCCCAAAAACCUUGGGAUAGAAACUCUCAGGUAAAAAGACUGCAAUUGGACG